GGGUCCGUCGAGAGGACGGACCGAGGCCACACUGGGACUGAGACACGGCCCAGACUCCUACGGGAGGCAGCAG
This 73-nucleotide ribosomal RNA is filed under the name uncultured bacterium. RNAcentral's name for it is "partial 16S ribosomal RNA". The record is from RNAcentral.